UAUGCCUGUAUCGUGAUGAGCACAUUCAC
This 29-nucleotide non-coding RNA is filed under the name Rattus norvegicus (Norway rat). The record is from RNAcentral. Lineage: Eukaryota; Metazoa; Chordata; Mammalia; Rodentia; Muridae.